Molecule: ribosomal RNA, 471 nt
Filed under: uncultured Flavobacteriia bacterium
Lineage: Bacteria; Pseudomonadati; Bacteroidota; Flavobacteriia
Description: bacterial SSU rRNA
Rfam family: Bacterial small subunit ribosomal RNA
Source: RNAcentral
GUGCAGGAAGACGGUCCUAUGGAUUGUAAACUGCUUUUGUACGGGAAGAACAAGGGGCACGUGUGCCCCUCUGACGGUACCGUAAGAAUAAGGAUCGGCUAACUCCGUGCCAGCAGCCGCGGUAAUACGGAGGAUCCGAGCGUUAUCCGGAAUCAUUGGGUUUAAAGGGUCCGUAGGCGGGCCGUUAAGUCAGGGGUGAAAGUCUGCGGCUCAACCGUAGGACUGCCCUUGAUACUGGCGGCCUUGAGUUAUGGUGAAGUGGCUAGAAUAUGUGGUGUAGCGGUGAAAUGCAUAGAUAUCACAUGGAAUACCGAUUGCGAAGGCAGGCCACUAACCAUAUACUGACGCUGAUGGACGAAAGCGUGGGGAGCGAACAGGAUUAGAUACCCUGGUAGUCCACGCCGUAAACGAUGGAUACUAGCUGUCCGGUACCUUGAGUACUGGGCGGCCAAGCGAAAGUGAUAAGUAUCC